GAUGAACGCUGGCGGCGUGCCUAAUACAUGCAAGUCGAGCGAACAGACGAGGAGCUUCUCCUCUGACGUUAGCGGCGGACGGGUGAGUAACACGUGGAUAACCUACCUAUAAGACUGGGAUAACUUCGGGCAACCGGAGCUAAUACCGGAUAAUAUAUUGAACCGCAUGGUUCAAUAGUGAAAGACGGUUUUGCUGUCACUUAUAGAUGGAUCCGCGCGGCAUUAGCUAGUUGGUAAGGUAACGGCUUACCAAGGCAACGAUGCGUAGCCGACCUGAGAGGGUGAUCGGCCACACUGGAACUGAGACACGGUCCAGACUCCUACGGGAGGCAGCAGUAGGGAAUCUUCCGCAAUGGGCGAAAGCCUGACGGAGCAACGCCGCGUGAGUGAUGACGGUCUUCGGAUCGUAAAACUCUGUUAUUAGGUAAGAACAAAUUUGUAAGUAACUAUGCACGUCUUGACGGUACCUAAUCAGAAAGCCACGGCUAACUACGUG
This 496-nucleotide ribosomal RNA is filed under the name uncultured bacterium. RNAcentral describes it as "partial 16S ribosomal RNA". It matches the Rfam family "Bacterial small subunit ribosomal RNA", at positions 28 to 507 of the family's 1533-position model. The record is from RNAcentral.